UACCAUUUGGAAACAGAUGCUAAUACCGGAUAAAAAGACUACUUUCGCAUGAAAAGAAGUUUAAAAAAGGACGGCGUAAAGCUGUCGCUAAAGGAUGGACCUGCGAUGCAUUAGCUAGUUGGUAAGGUAACGGCUUACCAAGGCGAUGAUGCAUAGCCGAGUUGAGAGACUGAUCGGCCACAUUGGGACUGAGACACGGCCCAAACUCCUACGGGAGGCAGCAGUAGGGAAUCUUCCACAGUGGACGCAAGUCUGAUGGAGCAACGCCGCGUGAGUGAAGAAGGUUUUCGGAUCGUAAAGCUCUGUUGUUGGCGAAGAAGGAUAGAGGUAGUAACUGGCCUUUAUUUGACGGUAAUCAACCAGAAAGUCACGGCUAACUACGUGCCAGCAGCCGCGGUAAAU
This 402-nucleotide ribosomal RNA is filed under the name uncultured Lactobacillus sp. Its description in RNAcentral is "bacterial SSU rRNA". It matches the Rfam family "Bacterial small subunit ribosomal RNA", at positions 144 to 525 of the family's 1533-position model. The record is from RNAcentral. Lineage: Bacteria; Bacillati; Bacillota; Bacilli; Lactobacillales; Lactobacillaceae.